UACGUAGGGAGCGAGCGUUGUCCGGAUUUAUUGGGCGUAAAGAGCGUGUAGGCGGUUUGGUAGGUCCGCUGUGAAAACUCGAGGCUCAACCUCGAGACGCCGGUGGAAACCAUCAGGCUAGAGUCCGGAAGAGGAGAGUGGAAUUCCUGGUGUAGCGGUGAAAUGCGCAGAUAUCAGGAAGAACACCCGUGGCUAAGGCGGCUCUCUAGUACGGUACUGACGCUGAGACGCGAAAGCGUGGGGAGCGAACAGG
RNAcentral lists this ribosomal RNA (253 nucleotides) under uncultured bacterium. Its description in RNAcentral is "partial 16S ribosomal RNA". It matches the Rfam family "Bacterial small subunit ribosomal RNA", at positions 524 to 776 of the family's 1533-position model. The record is from RNAcentral.